GACGAACGCUGGCGGCGUGCUUAACACAUGCAAGUCGAACGGAAAGGCCCUGCUUUUGUGGGGUGCUCGAGUGGCGAACGGGUGAGUAGCACGUGAGUAACCUGCCCUUGACUUUGGGAUAACUUCAGGAAACUGGGGCUAAUACCGGAUAGGAGCUCCUGCUGCAUGGUGGGGGUUGGAAAGUUUCGGCGGUUGGGGAUGGACUCGCGGCUUAUCAGCUUGUUGGUGGGGUAGUGGCUUACCAAGGCUUUGACGGGUAGCCGGCCUGAGAGGGUGACCGGCCACAUUGGGACUGAGAUACGGCCCAGACUCCUACGGGAGGCAGCAGUGGGGAAUAUUGCACAAUGGGCGGAAGCCUGAUGCAGCAACGCCGCGUGCGGGAUGACGGCCUUCGGGUUGUAAACCGCUUUCGCCUGUGACGAAGCGUGAGUGACGGUAAUGGGUAAAGAAGCACCGACUAACUACGUG
Molecule: ribosomal RNA, 468 nt
Filed under: uncultured bacterium
Lineage: Bacteria
Description: partial 16S ribosomal RNA
Rfam family: Bacterial small subunit ribosomal RNA
Source: RNAcentral